This 120-nucleotide ribosomal RNA is filed under the name Anthoceros agrestis. Lineage: Eukaryota; Viridiplantae; Streptophyta; Anthocerotopsida; Anthocerotales; Anthocerotaceae. The record is from RNAcentral.
GGGCUACUACACCGGAUCCCAUCAGAACUCCGCAGUUAAGCGCCCUUGGGCCGGAUCAGUACUGGGAUGGGUGACCUCCCGGGAAGUCCCGGUGCUGCACCCUCUUUUUUCGAAACUUUU